This 177-nucleotide ribosomal RNA is filed under the name uncultured bacterium. RNAcentral's name for it is "partial 16S ribosomal RNA". It matches the Rfam family "Bacterial small subunit ribosomal RNA", at positions 1324 to 1500 of the family's 1533-position model. The record is from RNAcentral.
AGUCGGAAUUGCUAGUAAUCGCGGAUCAGCAUGCCGCGGUGAAUACGUUCCCGGGCCUUGUACACACCGCCCGUCACACCAUGGGAGCCGGUAAUACCCGAAGCCAGUAGUUCAACCGCAAGGAGAGCGCUGUCGAAGGUAGGAUUGGCGACUGGGGUGAAGUCGUAACAAGGUACC